RNAcentral lists this ribosomal RNA (482 nucleotides) under uncultured bacterium. RNAcentral describes it as "partial 16S ribosomal RNA". It matches the Rfam family "Bacterial small subunit ribosomal RNA", at positions 30 to 507 of the family's 1533-position model. The record is from RNAcentral.
AUUGAACGCUGGCGGCAUGCCUUACACAUGCAAGUCGAACGGUAACAGGUCUUCGGAUGCUGACGAGUGGCGAACGGGUGCGUAAUACAUCGGAACGUGCCCGAUCGUGGGGGAUAACGAGGCGAAAGCUUUGCUAAUACCUCAUACGAUCUACGGAUGAAAGCGGGGGAUCUUCGGACCUCGCGCGGACGGAGCGGCCGAUGGCAGAUUAGGUAGUUGGUGGGAUAAAAGCUUACCAAGCCGACGAUCUGUAGCUGGUCUGAGAGGAUGAUCAGCCACACUGGGACUGAGACACGGCCCAGACUCCUACGGGAGGCAGCAGUGGGGAAUUUUGGACAAUGGGCGAAAGCCUGAUCCAGCCAUGCCGCGUGCAGGAUGAAGGCCUUCGGGUUGUAAACUGCUUUUGUACGGAACGAAAAGCCUCUUUCUAAUAAAGAGGGGUCAUGACGGUACCGGAAGAAUAAGCACCGGCUAACUACGUG